Molecule: ribosomal RNA, 206 nt
Filed under: Plasmodium falciparum (malaria parasite P. falciparum)
Lineage: Eukaryota; Apicomplexa; Aconoidasida; Haemosporida; Plasmodiidae
Description: partial 18S ribosomal RNA
Source: RNAcentral
UUAAACUGGUUUGGGAAAACCAAAUAUAUUAUAUAUUUUGCUUUGUUCCAAAUAAGGUUUUCUAAUAAAUUAUGUUUUUAUCAGAUAUGACAGAAUCUUUUUUAAAAUCUCUUCAAUAUGCUUUUAUUGCUUUUGAGAGGUUUUGUUACUUUGAGUAAAAUUAAGUGUUCAUAACAGACGGGUAGUCAUGAUUGAGUUCAUUGUGU